AGUGAACGCUGGCGGUAGGCCUAACACAUGCAAGUCGAACGGCAGCACAGUAAGAGCUUGCUCUUACGGGUGGCGAGUGGCGGACGGGUGAGGAAUACAUCGGAAUCUACUUUUUCGUGGGGGAUAACGUAGGGAAACUUACGCUAAUACCGCAUACGACCUACGGGUGAAAGCAGGGGAGCUUCGGACCUUGCGCGUUUCAAUGAGCCGAUGUCGGAUUAGCUAGUUGGCGGGGUAAAGGCCCACCAAGGCGACGAUCCGUAGCUGGUCUGAGAGGAUGAUCAGCCACACUGGAACUGAGACACGGUCCAGACUCCUACGGGAGGCAGCAGUGGGGAAUAUUGGACAAUGGGCGCAAGCCUGAUCCAGCCAUACCGCGUGAGUGAAGAAGGCCUUCGGGUUGUAAAGCCCUUUUGUUGGGAAAGAAAAGCAGCAGGUUAAUACCCCGCUGUUCUGACGGUACCCAAAGAAUAAGCACCGGCUAACUUCGUG
Molecule: ribosomal RNA, 492 nt
Filed under: uncultured bacterium
Lineage: Bacteria
Description: partial 16S ribosomal RNA
Rfam family: Bacterial small subunit ribosomal RNA
Source: RNAcentral